RNAcentral lists this small RNA (2587 nucleotides) under Arabidopsis thaliana (thale cress). RNAcentral's name for it is "ATSL149260". The record is from RNAcentral. Lineage: Eukaryota; Viridiplantae; Streptophyta; Magnoliopsida; Brassicales; Brassicaceae.
AAAAAAAAACUUGGUCGAUCGGAACAUCUAGAAUUUCUUAUGACUUGAAUCAUGCUUAGGGAUUUUGGAAGGCAGCAACGCAAUUCAAAAAAAUACGAUUUGUUCAACUUAAGUUUUGAAAAGCUAUUUUCAGCAGAUGAAACCAAAAUCGGAAUCGUCAAUGGUAUUUGAUAAGCGGCUCAUAAGUUUGGAUAACAAUUUCAACUGUUUUAAGAAAAUCUAAUACCCUAAUUGUUUGAUAACAGAUUUUGACACCUUAAUUGUUUAAUAACCUUCGCUUACCCAAAUUUCUCUUGUAACACAUUUAUUAUAUUAAGUAAUGGUUUGGUUUUUAAAUUAAUUAAUUAAGUCCAUGGGGCUAUGUCAAUGAAUUGUGGAAGCCCAAUAUUUACAUUCUAUUAUUAAUAUAUUUGCUUGGGGCAUCAAACAUAUUUAUAUAACUCUGUUAAAGAGUAAAUCUGUAAUAUAUGCCCCAAAAUGUUUUUCCAUAAUUUGAUGCCCCAAGCAAAUGUUUCUUUUUUCAUAAGUGAGGCACGGCCUUAUUGGUUACGUGGUUAAUAUUAUAGAACAAGUCCUUUAAAAUGUAAACAAUAAGGUCUAUUUAUCUUAAUAACAAAAAAGUGUCUAUUUAGUAUUUAUCUUAUCCAACAUUCUACAACAAUAUUGUUACACUAACUAACGCCGUAGCCUCCGGCUCGUUCUUCUUCUUGAAUUUGAACCAAAUGGCCAGAAGGAACAUGAGGGUGGUCAAGAGGGCAGCAGUCAGUUCCAGGAGUUUUGAUAGUACUGUUGGUCCCAAAAGGCUUCCUCUAGUUUCAUUUUUCUUUCUUGUGCUUGGUUAAUUAUUUGUGUUUUCACAAAGCUUUGGUUUUGAUCUUUUAAUCUCUAGGAAUAUAUCUUUGUCUGCUUAUCUAUCUCUUUCCAUCACUACCGGCAAUGUUGACUCUACAAAAAAAAAUAAUUGUGAUAUUUUGAAAAAAACGAAGUUGAUACUUGAGAGUUGAGAUGAAACUGCUUCUUCUUCUGUUUAUUGUUUUGUCAUUUCUUGAUAUGUCCAGUCAAAAGUAAACCAAAACUGAUUAGAAAACCGAAUCAACAAUAAAUCAGUUAUCAAAAAAGAAAGUAAACAACAAGGUCUAUUACUAUUGGAGUUUGAGUCUAUGAUCAAAUCGGCUAAAAGGAAAAGAAAAAACAGUGAGAAGAAAUGAAGAAAAGAAAAGAAGCAAAAGCUAAGCAAAAGCUAAGCAAAAACUAAGCAAAAUGAGAAGAAUUCUUAUGAUUAAUAUAAGCGUUAUAUUGCGUAUUAUUUUUAACUUCGUAUGAUCAAUCCAUAUUUUCUGGAGAUGCAGGGUAAAAUUGUAAAAAAUUAGCGAGUUGAAAGAUUUUUAUGGUUAGGAACUUGACGAACCAAAAUUUUAAGAAAAAAUUCUAAACCCUGAUAUUUCUAGUAUCAGUUGAACCAAAACAAAUAGAUACUAUAUAAUAUGCAAUAGAGUUUUGUCCUAAUUCGUGAGAAAACGUCUAGAGGAAAAAAAAAAACAUAUUUUUAUGUUACAAAAUCUACGCAACGCAAUGGUAAACAAGGAGUGAUAAGUUCACAAGAAAGUCACUCCAAAUUUUUGUAUACAAAAGUGUAGAUUACAAGAUAAUUUAGCAGAAGUCAGAUUUGGUGAUAAAAGUACGAGUCUCCCGGUUUCUUAUCUCCACCAUCGCUAGUUGCUCCUCCAAAUCCAAUGGUAUGGGUCACUCCAGAAACAAGAUUAGUAACCAUGGAGGUUCCCCAAUAGACCCACCCGUUUUCAUCUCCAUGUCGCUCAGCCUCAACGCCAAUCCUCUGUUGCUGCUCUGCCAUGAUAUCACCCCAUCUCUUCCUCAUAAACUCUCUAACAACUUCAGCUCCUUGAGUAGCCACUUCUUGAGAUGGGAUCUCAAGCGGGUUUUGGUCCAAGUUCAGUUUCUCUAGCUUCCUCAGCCUAUAAAAUGAGUCUGGUAUAGCUUGGAUUUGGUUGUUGCUUAGAUCAAGCUCCCUCAGGUUAGUUAGAUCAGUGAUAGUGUCAGGGACACCCAUCAAGUUGUUGAAAUUGCUGCUUAGGUUUAGAACCUCAAGUUUCGUUAGUCUCCCGAUCGAGUUUGGUAUCCCGUGGAUCUCGUUCAUGUGUGCGUCAAGAUACUUUAGAUUAUACAUUUCACUUAUCGAACCUGGAAAGUAACGGAGUUUGUUCAGCUGGAUCGAUAAUCUCUCGAGGUUUUGUAAUCCGUAUCCAAUGUUUGUAGGUAAUGAAGUCAAGUUGUUGUAGCUUGCAUCUAACUCAACUAGUGACCUAAUUUAUGAAAAUCAUUGAAACCUCAGGACAAAAGUAGAAACAAUAUACAGAACAUUUACAAGAAUAGACAAGAACAUGAACCUGCAAUGCGCGAUGCUCUCAGGGAGUGCGGUUAGAUUGUUCGCAUUCACAUUAAGGAUUCUAAGGUUAAGCAACAUCCCUAUAGAGUCAGGAAGAGAUUCCAAAGAAUUUGAAGAUACAUCGAGCUCUUCUAGCUUCUUGAGUUUCGAGAUUGCAUCCGGUAUAAACUGUAAAAUGUUUAA